GGAUGCGAUCGUACCAGCACUAAAGCACCGGAUCCUACCAGAACUCUGAAGUUAAGCGUGCUUGGGCGAGAGUAGUACUAGGAUGGUGACCUCCUGGGAAGUCCUCGUGUUGCAUUCC
Molecule: ribosomal RNA, 118 nt
Filed under: Aegilops tauschii subsp. strangulata
Lineage: Eukaryota; Viridiplantae; Streptophyta; Magnoliopsida; Poales; Poaceae
Source: RNAcentral